This 991-nucleotide ribosomal RNA is filed under the name Salmonella enterica. RNAcentral describes it as "partial 23S ribosomal RNA". It matches the Rfam family "Bacterial large subunit ribosomal RNA", at positions 161 to 1190 of the family's 2925-position model. Lineage: Bacteria; Pseudomonadati; Pseudomonadota; Gammaproteobacteria; Enterobacterales; Enterobacteriaceae. RNAcentral also lists the same sequence under 5 other names. The record is from RNAcentral.
AAUCCAUAGGUUAAUGAGGCGAACCGGGGGAACUGAAACAUCUAAGUACCCCGAGGAAAAGAAAUCAACCGAGAUUCCCCCAGUAGCGGCGAGCGAACGGGGAGGAGCCCAGAGCCUGAAUCAGCAUGUGUGUUAGUGGAAGCGUCUGGAAAGGCGCGCGAUACAGGGUGACAGCCCCGUACACAAAAGCGCAUGUGCUGUGAGCUCGAUGAGUAGGGCGGGACACGUGGUAUCCUGUCUGAAUAUGGGGGGACCAUCCUCCAAGGCUAAAUACUCCUGACUGACCGAUAGUGAACCAGUACCGUGAGGGAAAGGCGAAAAGAACCCCGGCGAGGGGAGUGAAAAAGAACCUGAAACCGUGUACGUACAAGCAGUGGGAGCACAGGUUUACCUGUGUGACUGCGUACCUUUUGUAUAAUGGGUCAGCGACUUAUAUUCUGUAGCAAGGUUAACCGCAUAGGGGAGCCGGAGGGAAACCGAGUCUUAAUUGGGCGUUAAGUUGCAGGGUAUAGACCCGAAACCCGGUGAUCUAGCCAUGGGCAGGUUGAAGGUUGGGUAACACUAACUGGAGGACCGAACCGACUAAUGUUGAAAAAUUAGCGGAUGACCUGUGGCUGGGGGUGAAAGGCCAAUCAAACCGGGAGAUAGCUGGUUCUCCCCGAAAGCUAUUUAGGUAGCGCCUCGUGAAUUCAUCUCCGGGGGUAGAGCACUGUUUCGGCUAGGGGGCCAUCCCGGCUUACCAACCCGAUGCAAACUGCGAAUACCGGAGAAUGUUAUCACGGGAGACACACGGCGGGUGCUAACGUCCGUCGUGAAGAGGGAAACAACCCAGACCGCCAGCUAAGGUCCCAAAGUCAUGGUUAAGUGGGAAACGAUGUGGGAAGGCCCAGACAGCCAGGAUGUUGGCUUAGAAGCAGCCAUCAUUUAAAGAAAGCGUAAUAGCUCACUGGUCGAGUCGGCCUGCGCGGAAGAUGUAACGGGGCUAAACCAU